Molecule: ribosomal RNA, 468 nt
Filed under: uncultured bacterium
Lineage: Bacteria
Description: partial 16S ribosomal RNA
Rfam family: Bacterial small subunit ribosomal RNA
Source: RNAcentral
GACGAACGCUGGCGGCGUGCUUAACACAUGCAAGUCGAACGGAAAGGCCCUGCUUUUGUGGGGUGCUCGAGUGGCGAACGGGUGAGUAACACGUGAGUAACCUGCCCUUGACUGUGGGAUAACAUCAGGAAACUGGGGCUAAUAUCGGAUAGGAGCUCCUGCUGCACGGUGGGGGUUGGAAAGUUUCGGCGGUUGGGGAUGGACUCGCGGCUUAUCAGCUUGUUGGUGGGGUAGUGGCUUACCAAGGCUUUGACGGGUAGCCGGCCUGAGAGGGGGACCGGCCACAUUGGGACUGAGAUACGGCCCAGACUCCUACGGGAGGCAGCAGUGGAGAGUAUUGCGCAACGAGCGGAAGCCUGAUGCAGCAACGCCGCGUGCGGGAUGACGGCCUUCGGGUUGUAAACCGCUUUCGCCUGUGACGAAGCGGGAGUGACGGUAAUGAGUAAAAAAGCACCGGCUAACUACGUG